RNAcentral lists this ribosomal RNA (468 nucleotides) under Triticum aestivum (bread wheat). RNAcentral describes it as "partial small subunit ribosomal RNA". Lineage: Eukaryota; Viridiplantae; Streptophyta; Magnoliopsida; Poales; Poaceae. The record is from RNAcentral.
AUGGCAGUUAAAACUGGAGCAGCACUCCUCCUCACCAGCCUCCUUGCUCUUGCAACCAUCGCCAGUAGCAACACUGAAAGUUUUGUGCUGCUGAUUUACGUACAAUUUGUUGGAUCCGAAGGUGACAUCCUUUACGCGCAAAGGCAGUCGUGGAAUGACUCCAAUGAUGUGCUGCUGAGUUGGGAUCCAACCCUUGACAAUCCCUGCUUUUGGUUUCAUGUCUGCUGCAACAACAACAACUCCGUCACCCGAGUGUAUGCCACACCCUUGUUCUUCUUUUCUCCUCCUUGUUCUGAACUGAAGGUCCAAACUGAUUUCAUCAUUCAGAAGCUAUGGGGAGUUAACAUGCUGACCGGCAUGGUGCCGCUGGAGGUCCUCUCUCUUGUUCUUGUCAGAGACUUGACUAAGCUAAUUUUCCAAUUGGCAUCUUUUGCAGUGGCUACGGUCAUCCAGGACACGCUCAAGUGA